UUUCUGUAACCGGCGGAUCAGUGGAAAAACCACAUGGGAGCAGAAAAUAAUAUUGCCGACCGCCUGGGCAGUCC
RNAcentral lists this non-coding RNA (74 nucleotides) under human gut metagenome. Its description in RNAcentral is "ZMP/ZTP riboswitch". It matches the Rfam family "ZMP/ZTP riboswitch aptamer (pfl RNA motif)". Rfam says of the family: Previously known as pfl RNA. ZMP is also known as AICAR. The record is from RNAcentral.